GAUGCUGUGUCACAUACUGCACUGAAUCCUCGGUGUAGUUGAUUCUUAUGUCAGACAGAAGAGGAGUUCCUAUUUCAUCAUAGAACCUGCAUGGAUGCACUGGUGUCGAUGACAAACACUACGUUUUUGGGCACAGCCGGCAGGUCUUUGGGAGCAAAGUAGUGGACAAAGUGGCCGUUCAACACCUGGAAACGUGCACACACGACAGGCAAUGAGAUCAACUGCAGAAUUAACAUGUGAUUGUCAAGAUUUAAGGGUAUCUCGAAGACAAACACUGGAUUUUGGCAUAAUAGCAGAGCAGGUGGCAGGAAGCCGACUGAAUUAAUGACUAGCAGAGGAGGCCGAAGAUGUGAUGCCCUUUCCAUUGCGCAGAGGCAAAACUUCCAGAUGUGUGAUGGGAGAGUGGUCCACGAUGGUUAUGUCUAAACUGAGGCGACUGACCAACUGCAGGGGCCGGAUACUGG
This is a long non-coding RNA of Boleophthalmus pectinirostris (great blue-spotted mudskipper), 464 nucleotides long. RefSeq lists it as uncharacterized. The record is from RefSeq and is a predicted model, not a curated record. The transcript is spliced from 3 exons. NCBI's taxonomy places the organism in Eukaryota, Metazoa, Chordata, Actinopteri, Gobiiformes, Gobiidae.